AAUAUUGGACAAUGGGCGUAAGCCUGAUCCAGCCAUGCAGCGUGAGUGAAGAAUGUAUUCUGUUUGUAAAGCACUUUAAGUUGGGAGGAAGGUCAGUAAGUUAAUACCUUCCUGUUUUGACGUUACCGACAGUAUAAGCACCGGCUAACUCAGUGCCCGCAGCCGCGGUAAUACGAAGGGUGCAAUCGUUAAUCGGAAUUACUGUGCGUAAAGCGCGCGUAGGUGGUUCGUUAAGUUGGAAGUGAAAGCCCCGGGCUUAACCUGGGAAUUGCUUUCAAAACUGACGAGCUAGAGUACGGUAGAGGGUAGUGGAAUUUCCUGUGUAGCGGUGAAAUGCGUAGAUAUAGGAAGGAACAUCAGUGGCGAAGGCGACUACCUGGACUGAUACUGACACUGAGGUGCGAAAGCGUGGGGAGCAAACAGG
RNAcentral lists this ribosomal RNA (424 nucleotides) under uncultured bacterium. RNAcentral's name for it is "partial 16S ribosomal RNA". It matches the Rfam family "Bacterial small subunit ribosomal RNA", at positions 360 to 776 of the family's 1533-position model. The record is from RNAcentral.